This is a long non-coding RNA of Portunus trituberculatus (swimming crab), 695 nucleotides long. RefSeq lists it as uncharacterized. The record is from RefSeq and is a predicted model, not a curated record. NCBI's taxonomy places the organism in Eukaryota, Metazoa, Arthropoda, Malacostraca, Decapoda, Portunidae. The transcript is spliced from 3 exons.
UACACUUUCGGAGGCAGCCAGAGCCCCCAAUGCCGAGCGAGCCAUGGGCAGGCAGAUCCUUGCAGGCAGCGUUGCGUCGCGGUUAUUGGUUGUAGUGAGCGAGUGCCUGUGUGCGUUCAAGAACAUUAACCAAGUCUUCGCUAUCCUCCUCGUCGUGGCCUGCGCAUCAUAUUGGUGAGUACCAUGCACAGCUCAUCGCGGGACAGCGCGGGACAGCGCUGGAGCGCCUCUUCGAACCAGCAGAUAAGGAGAGUUCUGUUCCUAGGGCGCUAGGGUGAUAGGUUGUUAGGAUGGUAACCCUCUUCGCCUUUCAGGUACCACACUGAUGCUUUCUCUAGAUUAUUCUACAGUACUGCCCUUGUUAGCAGCUGCAGAACGAAGAAAUAAAAGCGCUAAGAGGCAUCAAAGAUUGAAGAGAUUGCAGAACAAGGGCUACAUGCUUUUUUGCGCGGCGACGGACGGAGUUGCACCGGUGACAAGGUUACGAGACCGGAGUGAAGCUUCGCUAAGUAAUGGAGUGUACAAUGCUGCCAACUCGUGAAGAAAAAUUCGAGAUAAUGAUGUUCAGGAGGUAAAAGCUGGCACUCCACGAGCUAUUCUAACGAAGAAAGUCAUGCACAAAGGUGAGGAAAGAGUGCAUCCUUCAUCUCCACAGGUGCUAACCAGCAUAUCUUUCAGGUGCUAAUCAACCUUUA